RNAcentral lists this ribosomal RNA (407 nucleotides) under uncultured bacterium. RNAcentral's name for it is "partial 16S ribosomal RNA". It matches the Rfam family "Bacterial small subunit ribosomal RNA", at positions 30 to 526 of the family's 1533-position model. The record is from RNAcentral.
AUUGAACGCUAGCGGGAUGCCUUACACAUGCAAGUCGAACGGAGUGGCGAACGGGUGAGUAAUGUAUCGGAACGUGCCCAGUAGCGGGGGAUAACUACGCGAAAGCGUAGCUAAUACCGCAUACCAUUGGAGCGGCCGAUAUCGGAUUAGCGAGUUGUUGGGGUAACGGCUCACCUAGGCGACGAUCCGUAGCUGGUUUGCGAGGACGACCAGCCACACUGCGACUGACACACGGGCCAGACUCCUGCGUGAGGCAGCAGUGGGGAAUGUUGGACAAUGGGGGAAACCCUGAUCCAGCCAUCCGGCGUGUGGGAUGAAGGCCUGCGGGUUGUAAAGCACUUUUGGCAGGGACGCGGUACCUGCGGAAUAAGCAACGGCUAACUACGUGCCAGCAGCCGCGGUAAUUC